RNAcentral lists this ribosomal RNA (301 nucleotides) under uncultured bacterium. Its description in RNAcentral is "partial 16S ribosomal RNA". It matches the Rfam family "Bacterial small subunit ribosomal RNA", at positions 509 to 809 of the family's 1533-position model. The record is from RNAcentral.
CAGCAGCCGCGGGAAUACGGAGGGUGCAAGCGUUACUCGGAAUUACUGGGCGUAAAGCGUGCGUAGGUGGUGGUUUAAGUCCGUUGUGAAAGCCCUGGGCUCAACCUGGGAAUUGCAGUGGAUACUGGGUCACUAGAGUGUGGUAGAGGAUAGUGGAAUUUCCGGUGUAGCAGUGAAAUGCGUAGAGAUCGGAAGGAACAUCUGUGGCGAAGGCGACUAUCUGGGCCAACACUGACACUGAGGCACGAAAGCGUGGGGAGCAAACAGGAUUAGAUACCCCGGUAGUCCCUGUCUCUUAUAA